GUAAUGUUGUAGAAAAAUUUAUAUUUUACUCUUUCUUAUUUACUUUCUUAAACAUUGGGUGGGUUUUUAUAUAUUUUUAUUUUUCCUUUUGAUUUAACUUGUGUAUUUCUAUGUAUGUCACCUGGAAUGCAACAAAGACAUCACACAGUAAAACAAAGAGCCUUUGAAGUCUUUAGUGUGGGUAAUUUAGUCAGGAAAGACAGAGGGGUUAGCCACAAAUAAAGACCUUUAACCUCACGGGUGUGAAGGCACACAAACACACAGUAUCAGAAAGAGCCUUUGAACACUUUAGUGCAGGAAAGACAGAGGGUUUGUUGACCUCACAGAUGUGAAGAUAAUAAAGCCCAGGGGGUUAGAAGGACCAUUGUUUUUUCUGAAAACAGCUAGGUUUGGUUUACGGGGUUAAGUGGAAAUUUACAGAGAAGGAACCUUGUAAGAAGUGGGGGGUGAUUGCAGUAUAAGAAGGCUGUCUGUUUUCAGUGUGAUUUUAGGUCUGUUGUGUUUCAGGGUAGCUGCUGAAACAUUGUGAACACACCUCUUUAAGGAAAAUAAACUUCUUUCCUUAAAUAUAAUUUGAUUCCUUGUCUCUUACACUGUGAUGCUAUUUGUUAAUAAUUGUUUUUGCCACAACAAUUUGGCGACGAGGACGGGAUCUCACGGCAGUUUCUUCUGGUCCUGAGCGGAUUUGACGAAGUGAUCAUCUCAGAGCACCAGGCUCUGGUCUUACCUCGAAAAUUGAGAGAGAAGAGCCAAAACUGCUUUCAGGGCCAGAGUGACUCGGCUGAGAUCAGAAAGAACCAGGUGGCAGUAAAAGCAUCUCAGGUGAAAGCUGCCCAGAGGAAGGUUGCUGAGAUGUUUCUGCAUAAGAUCAGGCCAGGGGGAUUACGUGGUAAUUCGUGACCUGAGGAGUGACCUGAGGAGGAAGAACUGGAGGGCGAAACGGUGGCGAGGGCCACUCCAAGUUUUUGCUGAUAACACACACAGGGGUGAAGGUCGGAGAAAGAGCUACGUGGGUGUACGCCAGCCACUGCAGAAGAGAUCCGCCCAUAUUGGAAGGGCAACAGGAGGAGGAACCUCAGCAACAACAACAACAAGUUCAACAAUAAGCCCCAAGAUCGAGCCCAAACACCAAGCACAAGAGCAAGGUCACUCAGGAGGAGUGAUAAGGCUGGUGUGCAGAGUAAAGCUAUUUAUGCAGCCACAACCAGAGACACUGAUCAUUACAAAGAGCUCCAAUCACUAGACAAGAUGGAUCGUUUAAGACCGUGGUUUCCAUUCAGACUGCCAGGAAUGUGUGGACUUUGUGAGACUGCAUUCAUUUUGAAUUUGAUAUCAGUGACUAUUUGUUUGAUAAUUUUAUGCUUAUAAUUGAACACAUGAGAUAGGCCGUAAGAGAACCCGAGCGUACUGACAACCUGUGGGCCGGGUGGGUUAUGUCUUUGUGGGGAGGAUGGAUGUACUGGAUAAUUCAAACUGUUUUGCCAAUUUUAGUGAUAGGAAUUCUGAUUCUGUUUUGCUUACCAUGCAUUAUGAGGUGUAUUUCCAACUCAGUACAGAGAUUGGUCAGGGCUGGGAUGUCCAUACAAGCAGCAAAACUGACCGCUUAUCCGAUAGAUAGUGAACACAAAUGUGAUGAUUAUGAGAGUGACGAGAGUGAUGACAUUUACACAGAAAUGUGAAGAAUGAUCAGGUAUACGAAAGUCAGACAUGAGGAGUAUAACUGUUAUGAAAUGACUUGAAACAAUUAUAAUCAUGUAUGAGUUUGCUUAGAAUUAGAAACAAGCGUGUUUUUUUAAGUUAUCAAAACUAAUGUUAAUUAAUCCAAAUCGUUUAUCAGAGAAU
Cyprinus carpio (common carp) is the source of this 1842-nucleotide long non-coding RNA. RefSeq lists it as uncharacterized. The record is from RefSeq and is a predicted model, not a curated record. NCBI's taxonomy places the organism in Eukaryota, Metazoa, Chordata, Actinopteri, Cypriniformes, Cyprinidae. The transcript has 2 exons.